This 255-nucleotide ribosomal RNA is filed under the name uncultured bacterium. Its description in RNAcentral is "partial 16S ribosomal RNA". It matches the Rfam family "Bacterial small subunit ribosomal RNA", at positions 524 to 777 of the family's 1533-position model. The record is from RNAcentral.
UACGAAGGGUGCAAGCGUUACUCGGAAUUACUGGGCGUAAAGCGUGCGUAGGUGGUUUGUUAAGUCUGUUGUGAAAGCCCCGGGCUUAACCUGGGAACUGCGUUUGAUACGGAUGGGCUAGAGUUCGGGAGAGGAGAGUGGAAUUCCCAGUGUAGAGGUGAAAUUCGUAGAUAUUGGGAAGAACACCGGGUGGCGAAGGCGGCUCUCUGGACCGAGACUGACGCUGAGGCGCGAAAGCGUGGGGAGCAAACAGGG